Molecule: RNA transcript, 1448 nt
Organism: Colias croceus (clouded yellow)
Lineage: Eukaryota; Metazoa; Arthropoda; Insecta; Lepidoptera; Pieridae
Exons: 5
Source: RefSeq, a predicted model, not a curated record
GUUGUUUGUAUCAAUGUAAUGUUUUUAUUUCAUUCUUUGUAUAUUGUUGGGGUAACUCAAGUAUUCAGUAUUGUAUGCACCCUGCACCGGUUUGAUUGACAUUAUUAAGGCAGGUAGAGCCGAGGGGGGAGCGUCGACUAGCGGCCACAGUUGAAUCGCGUCCGUCGUGCUGUGCGGUCGUGUGUUGUAUUGCAGAACCGGCCCGAAUGCCGGGAAACCUGUCGGCGGGAUGGUGGGCCACGGUGUAAGAGCUGCGCUAUGUUGAAACAUGCAACGCGGCCGCCGGCGGCUAACGAUGCCGAACACCGCUAUCAGAACAUGCCGCGGCGGCCGCACCACCACAUACCCCUGAACGUUUCCACCCUGGACUCUUCCAAGCACUCCGUCGGAGGCACCUCCGCCAGCGUCAGCCCGGGCGCGCAACCGACUGCGGCACCUAUCCCAGUGGUCGCUCCGAUACCCGUUGCUUCCCCGCCAAAACUUGCCAACGGCAAUGCGACGGGAGCGCCAACAGCCAGGCAGCCGAGAAGUCGCAGCAACAGAGCAGCCACAGAAGAAGCGCUGACCUCUCUAGCGUUGCUGUGUCUGAUUAGCUUGCUGCUCGCGUUACUGGCUCUGCUGUUUUUGCUCAAAAUAUCGGCGCCCGCGACGACUGCGCCGGAGGAAUUCGCCGUAGUGUACGAAGUGACAUUAGCUCUGUGUGCUCUGACAUUAUCGUUGAACCUUUGCUGUCUCUUGGUGUGUGCGAUACAGUUCCUGUUUGCCGUGAAGCUGGUGCACUCUCCGUCAGCGCCGAACGGCCGAACAAACAAGUACCUGCAGAAGUCGGCCAUUACAAGAAUAUGCGCCGUUGGAGGCUUUUUUAUAUCAAUACCCGUGUUUUUAACAGGUAUAAUCCUAUACACGUUCAUCCAAUUCCACUCAACGCCAGCAAUAGUGACAUCUGUGUUUAUUGGAGUCGGGAUAAUCUUCUGCGGUUGUGCGAUGGUCCACAACGUGUUUGUAUGGCAGAAGGAAAAGACGAACUUAGCGAAGGCAUUUCGAGCGCAAGAAGUUACAAUGAAUACAUCGAACGGUGUGCUCAUGAAUGGGCAUUUGAAUAACACGGGAGCCGGCAAUGUAAGCUUCCAUAGCAUGACUGCGCCGUACACGCAUCCGAUUACGCUGUUGCAACAGGGAGGCCCCUAUAUUAUAAGACCACCAACCAGCACGCCGCCUGGUGAGGGAGCGGCUACACCAGGCGUUCCAGCUGCUACCAUAGACCUCAGCCACGAUACUCACGAACUUAGCACACUUGUAUGAAUACAGGAUUAAAUGUACCAUGAUAAGACAUAUAAAGAUAGACUAAGGCUGGUUGCAGAGCUUGACCGACUCUGCAACCAGCCUUAUACUAUGUGAUCCAAUUGAGAAUAGGACCAUCAAUGCGUCAAUGAUUUUCGUAUCAAAUG